CACGUCUGUGUGCCUGCGUGUGCGCACACGUCUGUGUGCCUGCGUGUGCGCACACGUCUGUGUGCCUGCGUGUGCGCACACGUCUGUGUGUGCACACAUU
This is a non-coding RNA of Pelobates cultripes (western spadefoot toad), 100 nucleotides long. The record is from the annotation of a GenBank genome assembly. NCBI's taxonomy places the organism in Eukaryota, Metazoa, Chordata, Amphibia, Anura, Pelobatidae.